GGGGCUGACUUGGAUUUCGACAGAUUUCUUGUCGCACAGAUAGCAUGCCAAGUGCUGCUUGUAAAACAGCAACAAAAAUAACUGUAAACAACGCAGAUUACGCUCCAGCUUACGCUAAAGCUGCGUGAGUUAAUCUCCUUUUGGAGCUGGACUGAUUAGAAUUUCUAGCGUUUUAAUCACUCCAUAACCUUAAGCUAGACGCUUUUAAAAGGUGGUUCGCCUUUUAAAAUAAGAAACAAGAACUCUUGAAACUACCUCAAGGUUUUAGAAAGUUGGACCAGAGCUAGUUUUAAGGCUAAAAAGCUAACCAAUUUUCUAAGCAUUGUAGAAGUUUGUGUUUAGGGCAAGAUUUUUGGACUGGGGUUCGAUUCCCCACAGCUCCACCA
RNAcentral lists this transfer-messenger RNA (386 nucleotides) under Helicobacter pylori. Its description in RNAcentral is "Standard tmRNA". It matches the Rfam family "transfer-messenger RNA". Rfam says of the family: Bacterial tmRNA, also known as 10Sa RNA or SsrA, is named for its dual tRNA and mRNA-like properties. Its role is to liberate the mRNA from a stalled ribosome. The record is from RNAcentral. Lineage: Bacteria; Pseudomonadati; Campylobacterota; Epsilonproteobacteria; Campylobacterales; Helicobacteraceae.